CCCUUGGGAGGGGGAUAACAAUUGGAAACAAUUGCUAAUACCCCAUAUGCUUAUUAGUGAAAAGAGUAAUCUGCCCGAGGAUGAGCUCAUGCCUGAUUAGCUAGUUGGUAGGGUAAAAGCCUACCAAGGCUACGAUCAGUAGUUGGUUUGAGAGGAUGAUCAGCCACACUGGGACUGAUAUACGGCCCAUACUUCUACGGAAGGCAGCAGUGGGGAAUUUUCCGCAAUGGGCGAAAGCCUGACGGAGCAAUACCGCGUGAGGGAAGAAUGCCUGUGGGUUGUAAACCUCUUUUUUUAGGGAAGAAACUAUGACGGUACCUGAAGAAUAAGCAUCGGCUAACUCCGUGCCAGCAGCCGCGGUAAUACGGGGGAUGCAAGCGUUAUCCGGAAUCACUGGGCGUAAAGAGUCUGUAGGUUGUCUAAUAAGUCUGCUGUUAAAU
RNAcentral lists this ribosomal RNA (440 nucleotides) under uncultured bacterium. Its description in RNAcentral is "bacterial SSU rRNA". It matches the Rfam family "Bacterial small subunit ribosomal RNA", at positions 129 to 600 of the family's 1533-position model. The record is from RNAcentral.